RNAcentral lists this ribosomal RNA (468 nucleotides) under uncultured bacterium. RNAcentral's name for it is "partial 16S ribosomal RNA". It matches the Rfam family "Bacterial small subunit ribosomal RNA", at positions 28 to 507 of the family's 1533-position model. The record is from RNAcentral.
GACGAACGCUGGCGGCGUGCUUAACACAUGCAAGUCGAACGGAAAGUCCCUGCUUUUGUGGGGUGCUCGAGUGGCGAACGGGUGAGUAACACGUGAGUAACCUGCCCUUGACUUUGGGAUAACUUCAUGAAACUGGGGCUAAUACCGGAUAGGAGCUCCUGCUGCAUGGUGGGGGUUGGAAAGUUUCGGCGGUUGGGGAUGGACUCGCGGCUUAUCAGCUUGUUGGUUGGGUAGUGGCUUACCAAGGCUUUGACGGGUAGCCGGCCUGAGAGGGUGACCGGCCACAUUGGGACUGAGAUACGGCCCAGACUCCUACGGGAGGCAGCAGUGGAGAAUAGUGCACAAUGGGCGGAAGCCUGAUGCAGCAACGCCGCGUGCGGGAUGACGGCCUUCGGGUUGGAAACCGCUUUCGCCUGUGACGAAGCGUGAGUGACGGUAAUGGGUAAAGAAGCACCGGCUAACUACGUG